Molecule: long non-coding RNA, 2403 nt
Organism: Salvia splendens (bonfire salvia)
Lineage: Eukaryota; Viridiplantae; Streptophyta; Magnoliopsida; Lamiales; Lamiaceae
Exons: 4
Source: RefSeq, a predicted model, not a curated record
CUCCCGUUUACUUUUUCUUUUGUAGGUUUCGAUUUACAGCUGAUCGUCGAUCUCGUUGUAUAUUCGGCGUUUGUAUUCACCUUUGAUUUUCUGCUGCCUGCUUUUCUAUUUUGCUGAAUCCACGGCCAAUCGAUGAAGAUUUUAUAAUUUUCUUCCGAUCCUCCGUUUGAAUUUACGCUGGGCUGAUUUUUGUGCGCUUUUCUGCUUAGAUGAAGCUCGGAGAGAUCUGUUUUUUCAGAAACCAGCUGAUUCGGUGAAAUUUGUUCAUUGAUCUGCCCAUGGUAAACGAUCUUAUUCAUGCUCAGCCGAGCACGAGAGGCUUUCCAUACCAGAAAUUGUCAUUCAUCGUCUCAAAAUCUGGUGAAACUUGAUUGGUAAAACAACGAGAGAUAGUAUAAAUGGAACUCUAGGUAGUGUUGUAGUCGUAUGUAAAAAAGUGUGGUGUGAUAUUUGAGACUCUGAGAGAAGAAGAGUGGGUGAGCUGAUCGGCCUUUACCAUGUUGGGUGCGCUCGCAUGGUAGGUCACCACAUAAUAAAAGCUAUUUUUUGUGUUUAGAGGGGAGAUGGUACGGUGAUUUUUCCGGCUCUCCCCUCGUGUGCGGUGUCCUUUAUUUUUUUUCUUUACCCCUUUCCCCUUCGCCAUCAUCUACUUCAGCACUCAUAACCCCAUUAACAGUUUCGGUAUUUGGUAGCUUUGAAUGGUUACAUUUUGAGCCAAUCAUUCAAGACCAAAACAUGAUAUUAAUCCACUCCCUGAGGGCUGGGGCCGACAAAUUCACUGAUAAGGUACAAAUUAGCACUCUGCCCUUUUAUGUUACUAAUUUUCUACUUAUCUUGUCUUUAAUUCGGUAAAACUCCUUAAGUUCCAAGACCUCAGGUACAACUCAACAUCUCCUUUUACUACGGUAGUUCAUCUGAUUUACCAAACAUGCUCUGAAAACAGAGACUGUUACUCAAGAGGCAAUUAUGUUUCAAAUUUUAUCCAUCGCUUGGUAUCUGGGUUCCACGCACAUGAAAUCACGCACCACAAUAAUUAGCACAUCAAGUGCAUGGUAUCACUGCAGGCUCAUGCCUACUACCACAUUUCCUUAUGCCAUUUGUAUCUUUAUAAUUGUUAACCAAUUUAAUUCUAUCUAUUGUCUCUAUCAACCUUCCAAUCAAAACCAAUGACUCGAUGUGUUUAUCUGUUUGUCUACAAAGUUUACAUUUUGAACAGUAUGGUUUUGGCUUUUUUUGCCUUCCAUUCAAAGUCAAAGACUGAAUGGGUGUCUGGUUUUCUACAAGGUUGUACAUUUUGAACAGUAUGGUUUUUGCUAUCUUAAGCUAUUACUUUUUUUUUAUUAUAUUAAGGCUGUUGUUGUGGUUUGAUCUGAAACACCUCUAUUAGUUUUUUAUUUGGAUGGAGUAUAAAGCUUCCAGUUAGUGCCCAUGUAAGGGAAUUCCUUUCCUUAUGUUGUGAAGGCACGGCUUUGUACUUUUUAAUGUAUUAGCUAUUGUGAACCAUACUUCUUUUGAGGUUUUGCUGCUGUUUCUUAGCGAAAGGCGUGAAUGAAGUUAAUGAGAAUUAGUUUCCUGGGCUGAUUCCAUAGUUGGAUAUGGAAUAUGCUGCUACUGCUGAGUGAGCUUCUGAUAUUGAAUGAACCACCUCAAGGGUGAUUGGUUGUUUGUGUUCGAGUUUAUGUGCUGCCCAUUGAAUGGAUGAUAUUCAACUGUGACUUAUUGUAUAUUUCCAAGGUCAUGAAUGUUCCAUAGUUUGAAGAUUUUUCUCCCAUCAACUGUUGCACUAGAUUGUGAGGCUGUUCGAAAACUCGAGUCUUGAUUAAUUGAGUUCUGAACAUAGAAUUUUUAGCUCUUUUGGCUGAACUGGUUCUUUAAAUCUGUUAAACAGUUAGCUGGUUUUAAGCUUUCCUCUUGUUUCUGCUUCUGUCUGUAAACACUAUUCAGCUGGCCAAGUGUGACAUUUGAUGAUGUUAGAAGCUGCUGGGCUUGAGAAUACUGCAAUGCCCUUUGCUCCACCCCAUUGGAUGUGUAGAGGAAUCUUAAAAUGGGAAAUGAAGAUGCAAAUUGUGAUUCAAGAAGAUUAAAGUGUGAAAUAUGGACAAAUGGGAAAUUAAAGCUGAGCUCCAUUUCUGGACUAGUAUUCGAUGUAAAGAAAUCGAUUCAAAGGUUUUGUCCGAGUUUGGUGUCAUUUCUGAAUCUAUGGGCAUAAAUAAGGAGCCUCUUGAAGACGAGGAUCAUACAUAAAGUGAACUGCUCUUGAAGACAAGGAGUCAAGGACCAUACAUAAAGUGAACUGAAACUGAUGCUGAAUUGCUGCUGGAGAGGUACAACGAGUCUAGACAUCAGAAUUUUUUUUCUAUAUAUUUAUUAAUAUGUUUAUUUAAUUUGUGAAUAACAGAAAUU